This 468-nucleotide ribosomal RNA is filed under the name uncultured bacterium. Its description in RNAcentral is "partial 16S ribosomal RNA". It matches the Rfam family "Bacterial small subunit ribosomal RNA", at positions 28 to 507 of the family's 1533-position model. The record is from RNAcentral.
GACGAACGCUGGCGGCGUGCUUAACACAUGCAAGUCGAACGGAAAGGCCCUGCUUUUGUGGGGUGCUCGAGUGGCGAACGGGUGAGUAACACGUGAGUAACCUGCCCUUGACUUUGGGAUAACUUCAGGAAACUGGGGCUAAUACCGGAUAGGCGCUCCUGCUGCAUGGUGGGGGUUGGAAAGUUUCGGCGGGUGGGGAUGGACUCCCGGCUUAUCAGCUUGUUGGUGGGGUAGUGGCUUACCAAGGCUUUGAUGGGUAGCCGGCCUGGGGGGGGGACCGGCCAAAUGGGGACUGGGAUACGGCCCAGACUCCUACGGGAGGCAGCAGUGGGGAAUAUUGCACAAUGGGCGGAAGCCUGAUGCAGCAACGCCGCGUGCGGGAUGACGGCCUUCGGGUUGUAAACCGCUUUCGCCUGUGACGAAGCGUGAGUGACGGUAAUGGGUAAAGAAGCACCGGCUAACUACGUG